This 2579-nucleotide long non-coding RNA is filed under the name Sus scrofa (pig). RNAcentral describes it as "lncRNA (ENSSSCG00045012051.1)". Lineage: Eukaryota; Metazoa; Chordata; Mammalia; Artiodactyla; Suidae. The record is from RNAcentral.
UCCUGCCUCUCCAUAACCCUGGCUAACGGCUCCGAUGGGGAGCUCCCAAAGGGAGACCUCCCUACUCCCCCAGCCCCGAGUGCAGCCCCAUCAAAGCGGCAGGGCUCUCGGCAUGGAGAUGGGGCCGCUAAUCCAGUUGCUCUGACCCAUUUUGGGCGAUAGGGUCUGGGGAGGCCCAGGGACGGGGCACGGGGAAGCCCGGAGGUCCCUCCAGCAGGUCGGGCGAGGACGCUAAAGGGCACCUGUUGCGGCGCGCGGUGCGGUGACUGCGGCGCACCUGAGCUAGGCCGGGCCCAGGGCGGCGGCGGGCGCACAGCUGAGCCGAGGUUCCAGGCCAGGCCCGCGCCUUGGGCUUCCGCCGGGUCAGCUGACCGCCCAGUACGGAACUAAAAGGCCGGCGCGAACUGCCUGCCUGCCUGCCGCUGCCGCCUCCGCGCUCCUGCUCCGCGCUCCGCCCUCGGUACCGCGAGUCCGCCCCGUCGCCAUGGCCGGGCUUGUGGUCAGUGGAACUCAAGUGUCCUACAUAGGCCAGGACUGCAGAGAGAUUCCAGAGCACCUCGGCAGGGACUAUGGACACUUUGCAAAGAGGCUCGACCUGAGCUUUAACCUUCUGAGGUAUGCCUUGACGCUGCUGCACGUGAAUCUCCGGCUCCCCUCUUGGUGCCCUUGAAGACGCAUCAAGCAUAAGCAUCCUGUCUUACGUGUGUCCCUAUGAGAGGGCCGUCGGUGUCCUCUUGUUCUUUUCUCACUGAUGCCCUUGCGGACAAGUGGCAAUACUUUUGGGGAAGGAGUGAGAUAAAGCCAGCUGGUGUCUUGGGGGUGUUAGGAAUGCUUUCCUGGGUAACCCCAUCUCCCAGGUAGAAUGCGUGCGUCUUCUCUCUCUCUUUUUUUUUCUUUGCCUUUUAAUGAAUUGGAACCUUAAAUAUUUGUGAUGCUGAUUUCUCCCAGAUGGUAUUUCAGAGUAAUUGAAACACUGCUGCCAUGGGGGUGGAUGGGAGGGAAACUCAAACAACUGUUCCAGUCUUGGCAGAAGGUAAGGGUGCUGGUCUGUAUUCUCCCAGUGGAGACAACGGUUAUUUUCUUCCUAAAAGGUUUUGAAUUGCAACGGGCUUGGGGGCCUGGCCGAGGGAAGGAGGAGGUGCCCGGAAAGCCCGUGUCAGUGGGAUAAAUGGACAGGGAUCUGGGGGGUGGCUUGUCCUAACCGGUACCUCUACACAGAGCUUGGCCCUAAGUGUCCCUCUGAAAGCCGCCUGUCCUCUGAAUGGAGCCAUUGGUCUCGAGUGGAAGGAGAGAUGAGGAGCUGGAAUCCCACCCUAGGGCUCUGAUGCUUUGCUUCUUCCAUCUUGUGGAGUCUCCACUCUGAGUCGGGACCCUCUGGAAUGAGGAGGAUGGGACAAAACUCGGUGCUUGAAGGCACCAGAGGGUAGAGGGGACUGUGAAUUGAAGCUGAGCCGGCAGAGUUUCUUGGUGGUGCUCAGGCGCAAGGCCAGGCUAGGAUGCAUCGUCCCGACAGAAGGGGCCUCCAGGGGCUUGCGUGGGAAGAGUAUGGGCAAUGCACGCGUUCUCUUCCUGACUCCCAAGGGUUUGUAUGCUUCUGGGGAGACGGGGAAACAGAAAAGUCACCAAGAAAUGGAGUGAUGAGAGGAUGCCAAACAAACGCUGCCUCUAAAGAAAUUAAGGGUGGUGUUGGGUCCUUAUGCAAGGAGGGGACAGAAUAUACAGCCUCGAUAGGACAGUGCCUGAGUCACGUGUGCCGCUCAAAGAGCUCCCCCGUGCAGACUCAGAUAAAGUGUUUCUGUGGGCACGGAGAGGCAUUCUUCCCAUGUGACUGGCCUCUGGGGACCUGGGGCUUUGUGGCUCAGGCAGUGGCUGCUUUGCUGCCGGGAGCCCGGAUGUGGUUUUGAGAAGGCUGGCCCUGUGAAGGGGUGUCAGCAGUCAUAGGUCAUGGGACUGGGCUUGUUGGGUCUGAGGAAACGGCCGUCUUUGUUGCUCUCUGGGUCCUGCCUCCCUUGGGCAGAAAAGGGGCUGGGAUUCUAGGAGGCGUGUGGGUGUGGGAUGACAGUUCAGUGGUGAGAAGGGGCUCUUGGCUCUUCUGAGGGGCUGGAUCUAUUGGGAAAUGGCAGGUCUUGGAGCCCGGAAAUUUUUGGUAAAGUGGAGAUUCAGAGGAGGAGAAGUUAACAUUUUUCUUUUUCUGUGUUAAGUUGGAGGAGUGACCGCUUCUGGCCAGGAAGGAACCUAUUCUUAGCCAUGUUGGGUCAGUGUGUGACCUGCAUCCUGGGCUGGGGCAGGAGUGAUCCGUGGAGCCACGAGUUCUGAUGGGAGGGUUUAUAUUAGGACUUGGUUAAACUGGACAGAGUUCCAGACCAGAAGAGAGAAACACAGUGCUGGUUUGACAUGGUUAUGUUGGGACUGGCUUCUCUUAGAUGGUCUUAUUUACCUAACCCCGGGGGGCGAGGGGAGGUGGCACUAUUUCUCUCUGGUGUCAGAGGAAGAUGGAAGCUUACUCAGGCACUGGUCUCUGUCUUUGCCUUCAGGUGGAAUAAAAUUCAAAGAUCAUUUAGAUCCUUAACUCAUUUCUC